UAUGUGAUCGUCUCUCGCAUAUCAAUAAGCGGAGGAAAAGAAACUAACAAGGAUUCCCCUAGUAACGGCGAGUGAAGCGGGAAGAGCUCAAAUUUGAAAUCUUAAAGGGUUUCCCUUUACGAAUUGUAGUUUAAAGAAGUGUUUUCUGUUGAGGUUUCGGUAAAAGUUCUUUGGAAUAGGACAUCAUAGAGGGUGAGAAUCCCGUAUUUGACCUUUACUUUCAACUUUGUGAUACACUUUCAAAGAGUCGGAUUGUUUGGGAAUGCAGUCCAAAAUGGGUGGUAAAUUUCAUCUAAAGCUAAAUAUUGGCGAGAGACCGAUAGCGAACAAGUACCGUGAGGGAAAGAUGAAAAGAACUUUGAAAAGAGAGUUAAACAGUACGUGAAAUUGUCAAAAGGGAAGCGUUUGACACCAGUGUUGUUUUUCUGAAAAUCAAUUAAAGAACUGUUUAUGCUAAGUUGUUUAGACUUUAUCAGCUAUCUGCUUAGUUUUGAGCUUUUCUUUAAUGCACUUUUCAGUUAACAAGUCAACAUCAAUUUCUUUUGCUGUAAAAAAGCUUGAGGAAGGUGGCUUGAGAUUCGUCUUAAGUGUUUAUAGCCUCUUGCCUAUGCAGUCGGAGAGAUUGAGGUCUGCAGCGUAGAUCCUUCGGGGCUAAAUGCAUUUGUGCUAAGUUAUAGCAUUUUAUAGACAAUUUGUUGACUAUGAUUUGUCUUGUAGCUUACUCGCUUAUGUUAUUUUACCUACGCUUAGGAUGUUGAUCUACAGAGCGAGAGU
Molecule: ribosomal RNA, 774 nt
Filed under: uncultured Neocallimastigales
Lineage: Eukaryota; Fungi; Neocallimastigomycota; Neocallimastigomycetes; Neocallimastigales
Description: partial large subunit ribosomal RNA
Rfam family: Eukaryotic large subunit ribosomal RNA
Source: RNAcentral